Molecule: ribosomal RNA, 253 nt
Filed under: uncultured Sphingomonadales bacterium
Lineage: Bacteria; Pseudomonadati; Pseudomonadota; Alphaproteobacteria; Sphingomonadales
Description: partial 16S ribosomal RNA
Rfam family: Bacterial small subunit ribosomal RNA
Source: RNAcentral
UACGGAGGGAGCUAGCGUUGUUCGGAAUUACUGGGCGUAAAGCGCGCGUAGGCGGUUUUUCAAGUCAGGGGUGAAAGCCCGGAGCUCAACUCCGGAACUGCCUCUGAAACUGGAUGACUUGAGUCUUGGAGAGGUCAGUGGAAUUCCGAGUGUAGAGGUGAAAUUCGUAGAUAUUCGGAAGAACACCAGUGGCGAAGGCGACUGACUGGACAAGUACUGACGCUGAGGUGCGAAAGCGUGGGGAGCAAACAGG